Molecule: ribosomal RNA, 1527 nt
Filed under: Triticum aestivum (bread wheat)
Lineage: Eukaryota; Viridiplantae; Streptophyta; Magnoliopsida; Poales; Poaceae
Description: partial small subunit ribosomal RNA
Source: RNAcentral
AUGGACGCCGGCAAAGAAUCAGCAUCAGCGAUGGCGGCGGGGGCGGGGGUGGCAUCGGCGAUGGAGCUGGACUUGUCGCGCGGCGGCGUGGUGCCCAGCUUCGACUUCGCGUUCGAUUCGGCCACCUUCUCCGACAGGGUGCUGCGGAUAGAGAUCGGCACCGUCAGCCCCGCGCCGGGAUCUGGCGGAGGAUCCGCCGCCGACCAGGAGCGCCGCCGCGAAGAGGAAGGUGAGAAAGAACAGAGUGUUGACUCUUCAUCGAUGAUGGUGGGCAGACCACUUUUACGAGAAAAAAACAUGCAUAUCAAUUCAGCGAUUCUUGCUUCAAGAAGUCCUUUCUUUCUAAAGUUUUUCUCAAAUGGCAUGAAAGAAUCUGAUCAGACGAAUCCAACAAUUAGGAUUACUGAUUCAGAGGAAAAUGCUUUUAUGGAGCUCUUAAGCUAUAUGUACAGUGGAAAGUUGACUAUAGCUGAGCCCACUCGUCUGCUCGACAUCUUGAUGGCUGCAGAUAAGUUCGAGGUUCUUUCUUGCAUGAGGCAUUGUAGUCAGCUGCUCAUAAGCUUGCCUAUGACCACAGAAUCUGCACUGAUCUACAUAGACCAUCCUUGUUCCGUUUCAGUGGUCAAUGAAGUUCGGCCUUUCAUAGAUGCAGCCAAGGAAUUCCUUGCGAACAAAUACAAGGAUUUUUAUGAGUUUAAAAGCGAGCUGAUGAACAUUUCUCUUGCUGGGAUAAAAGCCAUAUUUUCAAGUACUGACGUACAAGUGGAAACUGAAGAUGACAUAUAUUACUUCAUGCUUGACUGGGCCCGUGCACGAUACGUAGAAUUGGAGGAAAGACGUAAGAUCUUGAGUUCUCGCUUACUUCCUCUGGUACGCUUCAGUCAUAUGACGUGUGUGACACUUCAGGAGAUAUUAGCAAGCACUGAUAAUGAUAUAGAUCGCGAGCAAGUAACUCAUCGUAUUGCUGAGGCACUUCUACCCAAGGCUUACCCAAAGCAGAUGGAAGGUGCUCUUGCAGCAGAGGUAACAACCUGUUCGCGAUUUGCUGAGCGAGCGUACGAGUACAAACCUGUGAAAUUGAUUGCGUUUGAUCAACCCUGCCCACAGAUUAUAGUUUACUUGGAUCUAACACGCGAGGAGUGCUCUAAACUCUUCCCGUCUGGGCGUAUAUGCCCGCACCCAUUCCGGCUUCUAGGAUGGGGCUUUUAUCUGAUGGCAACCUGUGAAAUGGAUGAGCAGAGUAAGUUGUGCAGCUUUGGCCUCUGGUUAGGGGUCGCCAAAAAUAUGAAGGGAUCGUCAUGUUUCGAGGUAGAUUACGAGUUUGCUGCAAGGAAAAGAUCGUCAGGGCAGUUUGUGCGCAAGUUGGAGGGUAAGAUCUCCAUCGCUGAUGAGACACAUGGAUGCAGUGAUCUAUUUGGCAUUCCAUGGUCGACGUUCAUUGCCAACGACAACCUCUUCAUCAACGGCGUGCUACAUCUGAGAGCUGAUUUGACGGUGUUGCUGGGGCAGCCAAAACUGCAAGCUUGA